CAAGUCAUUUUUUUUUUUUGACAGAAAUACACUUGCUCGUAUCGAUAUACGCCAAUACUCCGAGGAGUUUCUUUCAUUCAAAAAAGCUUAUCAUCUAACCGAAAGACAUGAAAAUGUCUCCGGAAGCUUAGACAAUAAGACCUUAAUGUCCGAAAAGAAAUCGUCCCAAUUUGUAAGACCACGCCACCUGAAACAAAUACGAUCCAUUAAUAACAAGAAAAUUAAUAAUAAUAAAUUUAAUAAUUAAAAUCAGUAUAGAUUAUCAAAAAAUGGUACAAGUAGAAGAAAUGAUAUAUAUAAAAUAUUUUGACAAAAAGAAGAUAAAAUAAGAAAGAAAACAGAAUAAAAAAUAUAUCUAACCAAAGGGAGACCCUUUGGCUAGAUAUAUAACAAAAUAAAUAAUUACUAAGAAUAAUUAAUAAAAUGUAUUAAAAUAAAACUAUAAUUUUCAAAAAAUAUCUAAUAUUUUAAAUAAAAAAUUAAAUUAAAAUUAAUAAACAAGCCAACAAAAUGGCACCAAAUUGCCGAUUAUUAGGCCAAGAAUAUACGCCAUCAAUUAUGGCCACCCAUAUACGGUACGAACAAAACCAUGAAUCAAGACUGCAAAUAAAUAUACACCGGUUAACAAAUUGCAUUAAACUCUAAUCAAUGAGAAUUAAAGCAUUUAGAGCAUAUAUUUAAAAGCAAUUACUCGAGAAAAAAUAAAAUUCAAGAUUAGCAACAAUCAAGUGAGUCAAAAUGGUAAACAAGCCAUAAAAAUGGCAUCCAAACUUGAACAAAACCAUUAAAGGCAUAAUAAAGUCAUAAUUAAUGACUCCCAUAAAUUGUAAUAAAUAUUCAUAAAGAAUAUCCCUCCGAUUACAAUCACAAUUUAAAAGUAACUGUUCUAUUUAAAGAAACAAAUAAUGAAUAGUCAAUAAAAGAGAAACCCGUAACUAAGGCCAGUCCAAUUUACAAAUAAAUUAUUGCCUAAAAAUCAACCAAUCAUAAUAAUUAUGGAUUGAAAAACGUAACGGAUUCGACCUUCAUUACAUUCAUUAUAACAAACACUAGACCACCAGCACUGCUACCGACAAAAAUGUAAAAAUCACAUAGAUCAAUAUCCCAGAGUAACAAGCAUCAACACUUCAACAGAGAUCUUAUAAGAAUGAAACCUUUCUCAGAGGGUAGUAAAGUCAAAUUAAAAUUCAGAAACCAAGCCUGAGAAUAUGUAAAAGUCUUAAACUUAACCUACUAAACAACAUCCACAUCCACUCAACGAUUGCACAACCAAUUCACAGCAAUGACAAGAAACCAACAAGACUAGACUAUAAUCAUCAAUAUAUAACACACAUAGAUGGAUAGAAUACACACAUAACACACAUAAUAUACAAUUAUACAUAAAAGAUGCACAAAAAAAGAAAUUUUGAAUACAAAAAACACAUAACAAAAACCCAUAAUAAACUCAUUAAAAUCAACAGGAAAACCAUGAAAAGAUUGUACCUUGAUCAUGAUCAAACAUAUAAAUCCACUUACAAGGUCAGCAGAUGGAUCUAUGGUCAAAAUCUUGACAAAUCAAAAUGAGACCACCCCGCCCUAGAGUACCCGCCCACGAGAUAAUCAGAGUACCGCACCGUCGUGGUGCCGAGGAGAGAGGCAGAGUCGCCGGGAUGGUGCCGAUCGGCGUCCAGACAUCUAUGAUCUUUAUGUCUGGCUUCAACGGCCAUGAAAGUAGUGAUUCGAUGUAGUGGAGAGAAGAAUAAAGAGAGGAUACUUGACUAUGUUAGUCCAGAAGAGGAGAUUAGUUAUUCUCCCAAGUCAUUUAUUAUAAUAGAAGACAAGCAUUUUGAGGAGUUUAGUUUACUAAACCAAUACUAUGGGGCCCG
Molecule: long non-coding RNA, 1865 nt
Filed under: Daucus carota (carrot)
Lineage: Eukaryota; Viridiplantae; Streptophyta; Magnoliopsida; Apiales; Apiaceae
Description: long non-coding RNA (DCAR_LNC000009)
Source: RNAcentral